RNAcentral lists this transfer RNA (67 nucleotides) under Neophoca cinerea (Australian sea lion). RNAcentral's name for it is "transfer RNA-Val". It matches the Rfam family "tRNA". Rfam says of the family: Transfer RNA (tRNA) molecules are approximately 80 nucleotides in length. Their secondary structure includes four short double-helical elements and three loops (D, anti-codon, and T loops). The record is from RNAcentral. Lineage: Eukaryota; Metazoa; Chordata; Mammalia; Carnivora; Otariidae.
CAAAGUGUAGCUUAAACAAAGCAUCUGGCCUACACCCAGAAGAUUUCACAUCUAAUGACCACUUUGA